GAAAUAAAUAUCAUUCGUCUUGUAAUUUAGAAGGAAACGAUUCUACCAAGUACGAAACUGAGACUGUAACUGUCCUAGCUCUGUAUUGCUUAUUAUUUAUUUUUUUCUCUCCCUCGGAUAAACCGUAAUUAUGUUUUGAUAUGAUUUUCUUGUCACCUUAAUUAAUGUAAUUAAUUUAUUGCAAGGAUCUUGUUCUUAUGUCAAAAUUUUGAAUACCAGAUUAACAAUAAUAAUUUCAAAACUUAGUUUUCUUUUACGAAUUUGAUCUUUAUUUUCACGUGUUCAAGAUUUAUGUGGAGAAUUUUCUCCUGAAAACCUUUUAAAUUUUGCCUAAUUAAGACAUUUCAUUACAAUAACCGGUUGUGUUGGACAUUGGUAUGUACAACGACGACUCCUUUUAAAUCGUUGGUAUUAUCGGGUUUUCGCGAAGACUGAUUUUUUUUCGGAUUUCGCCUUCUUGAUGAUAAUAUCCGUUAAUUCAUUCCAAAUCUUUUUAAUUUCAGUUAAUUUGAUUUUCGUUCUUUUAAUGCCUAAACACGAAGACAAUAUAGUGAGAUGUGUAACUAGGUAGCUGACUUACAAAGACAGUGCUCGGAAACAAAUAUAAAGAAAUAAUUAACACAAGAGCAGUCAGAGAGCGCAAACCCCCGCCAAGGGAACACCGACGUCCUUAAUUUUUUUAUUACCCACAAGGGGCCGGAAAUAGAGGUUUUAAAUUGCAAAAACAAUACAAAACUCAUAAUCGGGGAAAUAAAAAUAUAGAAGGAAGUCGAGUAAGGAAGAAAAAAUAAAAGGAACGAAUGAAAAUAAUAAAAUGAGGCGCAAUGCCCACUCGACCCCCGAAGCCGAGUGGUUACAUUUAGAAAUUAUAUUGGACAGUUUUUGGAGGGAAUGUACAUUAGCUCAUUCCCUCCAUCAGAUCAACGUUGCUUGAAUAGGUGCACGGUGUGCCACACAUCGGAUGUCAAAGUGAUCGCAGCAACAUGAGAUGAAAUGUUUUCUACAACAACACAACGUACAAAUCGCUUCGGGAAUUGAAACCACAAUCUCGCAAUCGUGAGUGCAACACUCUAACCACUAGACCAUAAGACCUCACACCAUCUCUGAUAUGGAUAAGCUUUCAACUGAGUAUAAACAUAACAUUUGAUACUUGAAAGCAGAAAAUGACAUUACAGUCUGAGAUGGAAGGCGGGGGUCUAGUUUUAGAUCAUCAUCAUCAUCGUUUAACAUCCGCUUUCCAUGCUAGCAUGGGUUGGACGAUUUGACUGAGGGCUGGCGAACCAGAAGGCUGCACCAGGCUUCAAUCUUGAUCUGGCAGAGUUUCUACAGCUGGAUGCCCUUCCUAACACCAACCACUCCGAGAAUGUAGUGGGUGCUUUAACGUGCCACUGGCACGGGGCCAGUCAGGCGAUACUGGCAAGACCUCGCUCGAAUCUUUUUACAUAUACCACCAGCACAGGUGCCAGUAAGGCGAAGCUGGUAACGAUCACACUCGAAUGGUGUCCUUUACGUGCCACUGGCACGGAGGCCAGAUAGCCGCUCUGGCAACGAUCACGCUCGGAUGGUGCUCUUAACACCCUACUAGCACAGGGCUCGAGUGCCAGUAAGGCGACAGAAAGAAGAGAAAGCAAGAUAAACGAAGUUUAUGUAUUGAACAUCACUCAGGUGUUAUCGAUCGGUUUUGGUGACAAAAGAACAAAAUUUCAGUUAUACACGUUUAAUUUUAUUUGAUUGAAAUCGCUUUCAUGUUUUGAUGCAAUAUAUUUUUCUUCUUCCUUCAGAGUCCGCAGUGCUUCAAAGAUGCUUGAGAUAACUUGUAAUGACCGACUGGGAAAGAAAGUCAGAGUGAAGUGCAAGUAUCCUUCUGCUUCCAAAGAGAUUAAGGGUCUUCCUCUUUAUUGUAUGUGUGCCAGAUGACAAAAACUAAAAAAAAAAAAAAAAAAUAGUGUGUGGCCAUAUGGUAAGAAGUUUCUUUCCCGACCACAUGGUUCCAGGUUCAGUCCCACUGCAUGGCACUUUGCGAAAGUGUCUUCUCAUAUAGCUCCAGGCUGACCAAAGCCUUGUGAGUGGAUUUGCUAGAUGGAAACUGAAAUAAGCCCAUAAUGUGUGUAUAUAUAUAUAUAAAGGUACAAAGUGAGAUAGGGGUUAUGAGUGUAACCCACUAUGGGAUAUCAUUUAUCCAAUAUACUGCUAGUAAAGUACCCAGAAGGCUAAUACAUAAAUGGUAAGAAUUGCAAUGCAAUUAAUUCAUUUAUUGUAUUAUAUGGGCGAAGGUAAAAUGUUUUACCUCAAAUUCAUAAUACGAAAUAAGAAAAUGGAGGAAUAGAUUUCUUUCAGUCAUCAACUUCCAGAUAAUACAAUGUAUUAUCUGGAGGUUGAUGAUUGAAAGGAAUCUAUUCCUCCAUUUUCUUAUUUUAUAUAUAUAUAUAUAUAUAAUAUAUAUAUAUGUAUAUAUAUGUAUAUAUAUAUAUAUGUAUAUAUAUGCGGGUGGCACGUAAAAAGCACCCACUACACUCUUGGAGUGGUUGGCGUUAGGAAGGGCAUCCAGCUGUAGAAACAUUGCCAGAUAAGACUGGAGCCUGGUGCAGCCUCCUGGCUUCCCAGAUCCCCGGUCGAACCGUCCAACCCAUGCCAGCAUAUAUAUAUAUAUAUUAGUGGUAAGAAGUCUGCUUCCCAACCACAUGAUACUGGGUAUUUAUGUUCAACAUAGCAUUUAAUGGCAGUCAGUUUCUCACUGAGGUACACAUGCUAUUGCCAUUUUACAUUCAUUUUUCCAUGGUUGUUUCUCUGUCACACUCUAACCUUUCAUCAUCUGACACAUGACCACCUCCUCCAAUAUUCCUCCUCUAUAGCAAGAUGCCUGUUCUUAUCUCUUUGUCACAGUCUUACCUUACAUCAUCUGAUGCAGGAUCCCCUCCUCCAAUGCCCCUCCCCCCUCUCCUCUCAAAAUUCCUUGUCAUGCAAAGUUACUUGGUCACCCUGCAAUGGCGAUUUGACAUCUAUGUUUAGCAUAUUAGGUGUCCACUUAAGUGGUCAUUCCUCUUAAUUUUAUAUAUAUAUAUAUAUAUAUAUAUAAGAUAUAUAAAGAACGUUAAUGCUCAUGAGAGAUUAAUGUUAGUGGCCAAAUUAAUAGAUAUAUAUAAGAAUUAUAUAUAACAAGGGUGCUAUGAAGCACUAGCUUUGCUAAAAAUAGGAGUCAAAGUACUUCAAAGCCACAAAAAUUAACACUAGAUUUUCACAGGCAUAGUUGGAAAAAAACCCAAGUGAAUAAGGAUUGCAUCUUAUCUCUGCAAAACGGCAAGAAGGAAUGCCAAUAACCUGGUGUCAUGAUUUCAAAUUUAACACCAAAGACUUGAUUCUAUCUACCUAUAUAUAUAUAUAUAUAUAUACACAUAUAUAUAUAUAUAUAUAUAGGUGCUUUUUUUUUUUUUGAGAAGGCCAUGACUUAGUGGUUAGGGCAUGGGAUUUAAAAUUCUGUAGUUGAAGCUUCAAUCCCCUGACUAGGCAGCAUGUUGUGUUUGAGUGCCGAGCUCUAAUUUUGGAGGGUACCCAGGAAGAUGUGGGACAAAGUGGUGAGAAAGGAUCUUUGGACUCUGGGCCUCACCAAGGAAACAACAGCGGACAGGAAGUCGUGGCAAUUUGCUGAACCUGAUAAAACACAUGAAGCUAAAUAUAAUUGCUUCCACACAUGCAGGCUUGUCCUUUUAUGUACCGGUGCCGCUUAAAAAGCACCCAUUUAAUGUCUGCUUUCCAUGGGUUGGGUGGUUUGACAUGGAACUGUCCAGACGCCACUUGUCUGUUGUGGCAUGGUUUCUACAGUUUGAUGCCCUUCAUAAUGCCAACCACUUACCAGAUUGUGCUGGGUGCUUUUUUGUUAACUUGGUCUUUUAAAUAUAAUUAUUCUAGCCUGGCUUCCGUGCUGGUGGCAUGUAAAAAGCACCAUCCAAACGUGGCCGAUGCCAGCGCCGCCUUGACUGGCUUCUGUGCCGGUGACACGUAAAAAGCACCAAUCCCAUUGUGGCCGUUGCCAGCCUCGCCUGGCACGUAAAAAGCACCCACUACACUCAUGGAAUGGUUGGUGUUAGAAAGGGUAUCCAGCUGUAGAAACACUGCCAGAUCAGACUGGAGCCUGGUGCAGCCUUCUGGCUUCCCAGAUCCCCAGUCGAACCGUCCAACCCAUGCCAGCAUGGAGAACGGACGUUAAACGAUGAUGAUGAUGUGUAAAUAUAAACAAACUAACAUAUGUUUUUAUUAGAAGCGUCCAAGUGUGUAUUGUACAACACAAACAAGCAGAUGAUAUUUUUUUCAAAUGCAGAAAUAAUGGGUGAAUACCCUUACAAGGUAGAAAAAGUUGUCAACAAACUACCUUGUAAAGAUAUUUACCCAUUAUUUCUGCUGUUCUAAUGGCAUUACUGCAUUUGAAAAAAAUAUCAUCUUCUUGUUUGUAUCGUACAAUAAUUAUUACGAUUAUUGUUGUUAUUGUUCUUGCAGUUGUUUUCUUUAACUAAAUCUUUCAGUGAAGACGACACCAUUUGUGACCUAAAAAAAUUAAUCGCAGCUCAAACAGGCACUCGGUGGGAGCGAAUCGUUUUGAAAAAAUGGUAAGCUACUUGAUUAUUUUCCCUUUUGACUGUAAUCCAUAUUCCAGUUGAGAGUCCUUAUUACCUGUUGCAACUGAUAUGUGUGGAGGCGCGUGGCUAAGUGGUUAGGAUGUUGAACUCAUAAUUGUAAGGUUGUGGUUUCAAUUCCUGGACCGGGCGACGCGUUGUGUUCUUGAGCAAAACACUCGAUGAGUAACACUACGAUGGACUGGCGUCCCGUCCAGGUGGGGAAUUUCUACGCCACUGAAACCGGGAAACCGGCCCUUAUGAACAUGGCAUGGCUUGAGAAGGAACAUUUAGUGGUGGUGCAUGGCUUAGUGGUUAGGGUGUUGAACUCAUAAUUGUAUGGUUGUGGUUUCAAUCCCUGGACCAGGCAAUACAUUGUGUUCUUGAGCAAAACACUUCAUUUCACCUUGCUCCAGUCGACUCAGCUGGCAAAAGUGAGUAAUCCUGCGACGGACUGGCGUUCCGUCCAGGUGGGGAAUUUCUACACCACCGAAACCUGGGAAACAUUUAACUGAUAUGUAUUCAUUGAAUAUCCAGUUGAGCGCCCUGCAGCACAGUUAGUGCUAACACAUACAAGUUGCACAUCCACAGAAGAGUCCUAUGGCCUGUUAGGGUUAGCGCAGUUGAGAAGAAAGAAUGUUCUGGAUUAUUAUUUCAGCUUUUGUCUGCAUUGUUUCAUUUAGAAAAUUGGAGACAGAGCAGCUACUACAACCACAAACAUCCAGAUCAUAUUCUUCCUUAGAUGGCCUUUUAAUAAUGAUAAUGAAAUUAUUGUAUACAGUGCUUGGGUGCACCACAACUUGUCAAAAGGGCGUAUCAUCAUCAUCGUUUAACGUCCGCUUUCCAUGCUAGCAUGGGUUGGACGGUUCAAUUGGGGUCUGGGAAGCCAGAAGGCUGUGCCAGGCCCAGUCUGAUCUGGCAGUGUUUCUACCGCUGGAUGCCCUUCCUAACGCCAACCACUCCGUGAGUGUAGUGGGUGCUUUUUACGUGCCACCCGCACAGGUGCCAGACGGAGCUGGCAAACGGCCACGAUCGGAUGGUGCCUUUUACGUGCCACCGGCACGGAGGCCAGUCGGGGCGGCGCUGGCAACGGCCACAUUCGGGUGGUUCUCUUACGUGCCACCGGCACUGGUAGUUUAAAAUAUAUUUAUGAAAUACUAAUAAAAAUGACUAUCAACAUAGCACAAUAUUCACAGAAAUUUCUUGUUCAAUUUUAAACAGAAACUAUUAAAUUUUACUUCUCUAAUGAAUCUGUAUGCAUUAACCCUUUAGACCUCAGAUUAAUCUGCCAAAUGUAAUGCUUAUUGACUCACAUUGUGUUCAAUUAAUUAUGCAUUAUCUCAUAGCUUUAUAAUAAUAAUAAUAAUAAUAAUAAUAAUGAAACGCAUUGACCCAUUCAGGGGAUCGUCUCAUUACCUAUCAGGCCCCAUCAUGUCGUCAUUACAUACUGAAUGCCUGCCAUACAUUGCAACCAAGAGAAUACCCUCCAUCAGGCAUUUGCCAUAUUCUGAACACCUUACUUCCCUGGGCGUGGAUACAUUGAAACUCCGACAUCUGGCAGCUGACUUGGCAGACGCCCAUAAAAUUAUCAACCAUCUUACAAACAAUAACUCUGAGCACCUUUUCAAACUCCACCUGUCUAAAACCCGUGGACAUGUUUGCAAAGUCAGAAAACAGCACAGCUCCCAUGACUUUUGGAAACAUUUUUUCACGCUGAGAGUUGCUGAAGCAUGGAAAAAACUGCCGGCAUCAGUUGUUAGUUGUCGGAGCACUGCACUCUUCAAAACUUCCAUGCUUCCUGAGAUUCGCCAACACUACACCUGAUUUUCUCCCCUCCAUACACACACACGCAAGCAUGUAUCUGACUCAUACACUGUUCACUUUCCAGACAUUUGUACACUACUGCAUAUACUCUAUACUCUUCUUUCAGUUUCCAUCUACCAAAUCCACUCACAAGGCUUUGGUCGGCUCGAAGCUAUAGCAGAAGACACCUGCCCAAGGUGCCACACAGUGGGACUGAACCCGGAACCAUGUGGUUGGUUAGCAAGCUACUUACCACACAGCCACUCCUACGCCUGCUGUGCAUUGGUGACACUGCAACAAAUGUCUUCCCGAUUAACUCCCCUUGCCAAUCUUGUCUCGCCAGUUCACGAUAUUGUCCAUCCAUCACAUUCUUUGGCUGCCACUCGAUCUAUUUAUUCCCUUCUACUCUUCCUUCUCUGAUAAUAUUUCCCCGACCUCUUCUUCAAAUGUGGCCAUAACAGAUGAACUUUUUGAUUUUUUACAAUGUUCAAGAGUUGUCAUCUUUCACCUACAUGUUGUACAUGUUAUGGAUCUUUUCCGUUUGACCGGCAGUUUUUUAAAAUGAUUUCCACGUAACUAAACACUUUUAAACUUCGUAUACUGGUAGAAUGUGUUUAUAAAACAUAUUUUUCUCUUGGCUUUAUUGAGAAAAUUCUAUAGUCUGUAAGAUAUUUGUUGCUUUUUUCUUCAAUUUCUGCAAUUUCAACUAAUCAAUGACGUCUAUUGAGGUGAAAACAUUCUGUGCCAUAUGAAUAUGUCCCUCGUUUAAGAAACAGAUUGGGUUUAUUUACAUUUGUGAAGAAAAAAAGAUACCCUUUCCCCCACCCCUUACCCUAAAACAGAUUGAAAUGCAAUAGAUUGAUACUAGGGUCAUAAUUAUGGGUGACAAUUUCAUAUGACACCGCUAGAAAAAACUGCCGUUCAAACCGAAAAGAUCCCAUGUUGUAACAUGUCCUGGGUACUUUUUUUCAUACCACCACCAGCAGUGAGAUUAUCAUGCACCUGACCAGACUACAAGCCCCAAACGUAACACUUUUGUACUAGAAGAUGAGGAGUAAAAGUAAUUUUAUUUUGACUGUGAAACAAACGAAAUACUGUCUUUUCUUACAUUUUUAUGUUUUUGUCUUCUUUCAGGUACACCAUAUUUAAAGAUCACAUCACCUUAAGUGACUGUAUCCUUUAUUCUGCUUUCUUCAGAUUUCACCCUAUUUUCUGUUUUAAUUUCUGAAAUGAAAUACCGUAAAUCCUCGAGAAUAAUCCGCAUUUUUUCCCCAAAAAUUUAAAGGUCAAAAUCCUUAGUGCGUACUAUAUACGAGGUUAAAAAUGAAAAUUAUUUUCUAAGCAAUGUCCAAGUCUCUAUUUUGCUGUCCAAGCAAUUUUUAUUUAGACGCAUUUUGUGAUGUCGGGCGCGAAAAUACCUUAAGCUAAGCCUGAAAGCAAUGAAGUCAUAAAAGAAUCAUCCAUAACUUGCAGUAAGCAACAUUUAUUAAACGUUAUUACUGUUAUUUCUUUAUUUUCUGCAAACAAAAUGCACAAAAAAGCUACACGUUUGCAUUAUGUUAUAUAUACAAUAAUAAUAAAGGACGUUACCGUAUACGUUUUUACAAACCAAGGACGUUAUAUAGACCUCCUUGACUCAAGUUAGAGAAGGUGUGCGUAUUAUACACAAGGUUUAGGUUUUUCACAGGUACAGCCCCCUAAAAAUCCACAGCGUAUACACAUUUGCAUUAUGUUAUAUAUACAAUAAUAAUAAAGGACGUUACCGUAUACGUUUUUACAAACCAAGGACGUUAUAUAGACCUCCUUGACUCAAAUUAGCGAAGGGGCGCGUAUUAUACACAAGGUUUAGGUUUUUCAGAAGUACAGCCCCCUAAAAAUCCCCUGUGUAUUAUACUCAAGAGCAGACUAUAUUCAAGGAUUUACAGUAUUACAAAAAUGUCCAAAAAAAAAAUCAACUUUUUCCAAUUUACCUAAUCACUGAUUGUUUGCUGACCCUCUACAAAAACACAAAUAAAAGCUUAUUCUUUUAUCUUUUACUUAUUUCAGCCAUUAGAUUGUGGCCAUGCUGGGGCACCACGUUUUGAAGAAUUUUUAGUCAAAUGAAUCAACCCCAGUACUCACUUCCUUUUAAGCCUGGUACUUAUUCUAUUGGUCUCUUUUGCCGAUCUGUUAAGAUAUGAGGGAUGUAAACACACCAACACUGGUUGUCAAGCAGUUGGUCAAGAGACAAACACUGAUACAUGCACACACACGCACCCGUGAUGGGCUCCUUUCAGUUUCCGUCUGCUAAAUCCUCUCACAAGGAUUUGGUCAAAUCCCACUGAGAUAACAUUACUUUUCAUCCUUUUCGAGUUGAUAAAACAAGUACCAGUUGAGUGCUAGGGUUGAACUUAAAACGUAAAGAUUCAGAAAAAAUUCCUCUACACAUUGUAUCUGACGCUCUAAUGACUCAGCCACCUUGCUGUCUUGGAAAUAAUAUAAAGAGUCUACUUCCCAACCACAAGGUUCUGGGUUCAGUCCCACUGUGUGACACCUUUGGCAAGUGUCUUCUACUAUAGUCGUGGGCUCUUUACGUUCUGUGUUCAAACCUUGCGAGUGUUGGCUUUAUUUUUUAUCCUUCCAGGGUCAAUAACGUAAAGUACCACUCAAGUACUAAGACCGAUAGUAUCAACUAACACCCCUCCCUCAAAGAAGUUUGGGUUUUUAAAAUUUUGGUACAAGGCCACCAAUUGUGAAGAAGGUUAUAAGUCAAUUACAUCGACCCCAGUGCUCAACUGGUAAUUAUUCUAUCAAGCCUGGAAAGAUGGAAAGCAAAACCAACCCUGGCAGCAUUUGAACUCAGAACAUACGGUCAGAAUAAAUGCUGCCUAGCAUCUUUUCCGAUGCAGUAAUGAUUCUGCCAGCUUGCCACCUUACUACAAACAAAUAUUAUAGUUACUAGCAGUAUAGCCCAGCAUUGCUCGGGCUUGUUUUCUUUCCGACCCUUUAGAAUUGGAAUUUUUGAAAAGUAAAAAAUUUUGCAUUAUGUAGCUUGUUAUUCUCUUUAAGUGAACAUUUUUCUGGUUGAAAUACACCGAAAAAUGGCGACACAGCAGUCAAAAAUAUCGUAAAAAAUAGGGAUUUUCAUAGAAAAAAAGCACCUUUUUGAUGUAAAUAAUUUUUGGUCUUCACAUGGUCCAAUUUGAAUUUUUCUUCUAUGGAAGGAAGAGCAAGCGUUCUUCUAUCAUACUCUCAAUUUUUAGUCAACCUGCACCGCAGGGUCUCGGAGAAAAUAGUAUUAAUUGAAGGCGACGAGCUGUCAGAAACGUUAGCACGCCGGGCGAAAUGCUUAGCAGUAUUUCGUCUGCCGUUACGUUCUGUGUUCAAAUUCCGCCGAGGUCGACUUUGCCUUUCAUCCUUUCGGGGUCGAUAAAUUAAGUACCAGUUACGCACUGGGGUCGAUAUAACUGACUUGAUCCGUUUGUCUGUCCUUGUUUGUCCUCUCUGUGUUUAGCCCCUUGUGGACAGUAAAGAAAUAAAUGUUAGUUGAAGCCUACCAAACCUGCCACACACAGACAACUUCAGCUUUAUAUUACUCUUUUACUUGUUUCAGUCAUUUGACUGCGGCCAUGCGAGCAACGCCUUCAGUCGAGCAAAUCGACCCGGGACUUAUUCUUUGUAAGCCCAGUAUUUAUUCUAUCGGUCUGUUUUGCCGAACCGCUAACGGGACGUAAACACACCAGCAUCGGUUGUCAAGCAAUGCUAGGGGGACAAACACAGACACACAAACAUAUACACACACACAUAUAUAUAUAUAUAUAUAUAUAUAUAUAUAUAUAUAUAUACAUAUACGACAGGCUUCUUUCAGUUUCCGUCUACCAAAUCCACUCACAAGGCAUUGGUUAUAGCAGAAGACACUUGCCCAAGAUACGCAGUGGGAUGAACCCGGAACCAUGAGGUUGGUUAUAUAUAUAUAUAUAUAUAUAUAUAUAGUUAUUUAUUCUCUUUCUCCUCUUCAUAGUCUUUUGCAUCCUUGACUCUGAUGUUUCAGAUGAAAUCCAUGAUGGCAUGAACCUAGAACUCUACUACCAAUAAAUCUGGCAAAGAACACUCCCAGACAGCUCCAGUUAUUUUAUACAUUUGUCUCUGCAUCUUUUCCCUUGGAUUUUUUUUUAUUUUUUUUUUAAGAAAAUUAACCCCGUUUUGAGGAAAAUUCAAGAUGAAAUCAAACUGAAUAAAUUUAUAAAAACAAUGUCAGGGCUUUAAAAAAAAUCAUUUUUCUUCUCUGUAAAUGGCCUUUUUUAUUCU
Molecule: long non-coding RNA, 10697 nt
Filed under: Octopus vulgaris (common octopus)
Lineage: Eukaryota; Metazoa; Mollusca; Cephalopoda; Octopoda; Octopodidae
Source: RNAcentral